CCUGCGGAGGGAUCAUUACCGAGUUUACAACUCCCAAACCCCUGUGAACAUACCACUUGUUGCCUCGGCGGAUCAGCCCGCUCCCGGUAAAACGGGACGGCCCGCCAGAGGACCCCUAAACUCUGUUUCUAUAUGUGACUUCUGAGUAAAACCAUAAAUAAAUCAAAACUUUCAACAACGGAUCUCUUGGUUCUGGCAUCGAUGAAGAACGCAGCAAAAUGCGAUAAGUAAUGUGAAUUGCAGAAUUCAGUGAAUCAUCGAAUCUUUGAACGCACAUUGCGCCCGCCAGUAUUCUGGCGGGCAUGCCUGUUCGAGCGUCAUUUCAACCCUCAAGCACAGCUUGGUGUUGGGACUCGCGUUAAUUCGCGUUCCCCAAAUUGAUUGGCGGUCACGUCGAGCUUCCAUAGCGUAGUAGUAAAACCCUCGUUACUGGUAAUCGUCGCGGCCACGCCGUUAAACCCCAACUUCUGAAUGUUGACCUCGGAUCAGGUAGGAAUACCCGCUGAACUUAAGCAUAUC
Molecule: ribosomal RNA, 519 nt
Filed under: Fusarium sp. CR3
Lineage: Eukaryota; Fungi; Ascomycota; Sordariomycetes; Hypocreales; Nectriaceae
Also listed under: 1 other name
Description: eukaryotic LSU rRNA
Rfam family: 5.8S ribosomal RNA (bases 167-320)
Source: RNAcentral